GAGGCGGACGCGAGUAGCUCGGCAGGGGGACUCGCUUGGCUUUCGUGCCAUCCGUGGACACAGUCGCGCGGGAGGAGAAGAUGACAGUGUUCUCCCUAAGGAUGAAGUUUGACUUUUGAAACAUAUCACAUGCUUAAAGCACAUUUGAGCUCCUGCAUGAACAGUAAGCUAGCAGAUGGUAGAAAUAUUCUUUAUUAAUUCAAAAAAUAUUUACUGCGGACCUACAAUGUGCCAAGCAUGUCUCCUGACACUGGGGAUAAGCAGUGAACAACAACAAAAAGACAAACUUCUUCCACCCUGAGGCGUAUGUUCUCGGUCUUUGUGGGAAGAAACAAAUCACAAAAGCAAUUAAGAGAGCUCAAACAAUGGGUUACUCUCAUCUGGAUUAUUGUAGUCACCUUGUCACUGGUAUCUCUGCUUUCUCCUAACCCCCAUCUAAUCUCCAAAAAAUCAGAGCAUGUCACUCCUGGCCCCCAAAUCCCCCCAGUGACUCCGCCCUCCCCACCCUGCUCAGAAUUAAAGUCAAUGAUCUUUUUUUUUUUUUUUUUUGAGAUGGAUUCUUGUGCUGUCACCCAGGCUGGAGUGCAGUAAGUAGUGUGAUCUCAGCUCACUGCAGCCUCCGCCUCCCAGAUUCAAGCGAUUCUCCUGCCUUAGCCUCCUGAGUAGUUGGGAUUACAGGUGCGCACAAUGCCUGGCUAAUUUUUAUAUUGUUAAUAGAGUUGGGGUUUCACCAUGUUGGCCAAGCUGGUCUUGAACUCCUGACCUCAGGUGAUCCACCCACCUUGGCCUCGCAAAGUACUGGGAUUACAGGCAUGAGCCACCAUGCCCAGCCUAAAGUCAAUUAUCUCACCACAGACCACAAGGCUACUUUGAUCCAACCAGCCCAUCUUAUAUACUACCACUUUCCUGUUUUCUCACAGUGCUCCAAUCACACUGGCCUUCUUUCUGGACUUCAAACAUGCCAAAUAUACUCUCCUUGAGGGACAUAGCACUUACUGCUACCUUUGUUUGGAAUGUUCUUUCCCAGAUACCCAUGUGGCACACCCAAAUGCUUGAGUGGCCCCUUAUUAGUGAGGCCUUCCUAUAGCAUUAUAUAUAAGAUGGAUAUAAGGUAGGACUCAGAACAUACUCCCUAUCCUCCUUACUCUACUUCACCUGACUCCAAACACUGUCACCACCUGACGUAGUACAUAUUUUAUUUUUUAUUUGUUUAGCAUCUGUCUGCCUCUAACUAGAAUGCAAGCUCCAUGAGGACAGAGAUUUUUGUUUUGUUUACCGCCAUAUUGUCAGCAGCUAGAGCAAUGUCUGGCAUGUAGUAGCACUCAAUGAAUAUUAAUUGAAUAAAUGAGCUACCUAAAAAAUAACUGCAUUGAUAUCAUAACCCAAGUAGUGUCUGAAAUAAUGUAAUGAAUUACCAGAAUGCAAAUGAAUUAUUUUCCAGAUGUCUUUAAGUUGGGUGUUGGAAAGUCAAUAUGCAUUUUUCCUACAAAUAUAAAGUAAGUGCUGUUAUUAUCCCCAUCUUAUGGAUAAGACAUCUGAUAUUUAGCUUAUGCAACUAUGCCUGUUUUCUGAUUUUGAGGCAUGUACCUCACCACUUAUACUAAAUUUCCAGGUCAGAUCAUAAAACCUUACGUAAGCCAUAAAAUUCAGAUAUAAAGUAGUCUAAAAAAAGGAAGGACCAGAAUGGAAGAUACCUAUCUUACACACAAACAGCUGUAUCUAGAGUAUAGGCUUCUUAGCUUUCUAGAUGUUUCACCCAGUUAUAGCUGUUCUUUGAUAGUGAUACAGUGAUAGAGGCAGGAGGCAGAGAAAUUCUAGGCAGAUGGGAAGAUCCCUGGCAAAGCACCACCCUAAAGCUGAAAAGCUUGAAACCACUGCCUAAAGUGAGAACUUAUAUUCCCGUUUUCCUGCUUGAAUGUUGUCUUUUCCUAAACUACCCAUAGCCUGCCCCACCCUAUCUUGUGCCUAUAAAGACCCCAGACUCAGCCAGCAGAGGGGAGAAACAGCUGGACAUCAGAGAGAAGCAGCCGGACUUCAGAGGGACAGCUUGAUGACAUAACUUUGGAGAAGAAUGCAGCCAGAGAUGGGUGGACUCCAGGGAAAGAUUACCUGCCGCCCCACCCUCUUUUCAGCUCCCCUUCCUGCUGAGAGCCACUUUCAUCGGCAAUAAAAUACACUGCAUUUGCUA
This 2188-nucleotide long non-coding RNA is filed under the name Homo sapiens (human). RNAcentral describes it as "HSALNT0345456". The record is from RNAcentral. Lineage: Eukaryota; Metazoa; Chordata; Mammalia; Primates; Hominidae.